CAUGUAAGUUAGCCGCCUGGGGAGGACAUCUUCCCACCCCCGUCGAAUCUUCCGACGAGCAGAACUGGAGACCCUGGGCUGGACUGCCCAGCCAGGGCCUCUGAACUCCUGAGCCACAGAGUCUUUGAGAUCAUACGUGGCGACUGUUAUUUUAAGCCACGAAGUCUUGAGCGAGUUGUAGCACAGUCAUAAGUGCUUAAAAGAACAGCCAAGGCAGGGACAGGACAGAUGCAACAUGACAACGGUGCAGGAUAAUCUUUCCAAUUAAAGUGCACCCUUGUUUCUAUGGUCUACAAGACUUCACACUGAUGCAGGAGGUCCCAACGAGAUCUGACUGCCAGCUCAGCAUACUCCAGCCGCAUCGCCUCCUACUUACUUCCCAGUUAUCUCCCCUGCAAGAACGUUUAUGAUCCCACUUUACAGUCCGCCUGGCACUCUCUGCCCCCAGAGCUUCACAUAGGUGAAUGCUUCUUGGUGGUCAACACUCAGCUCAAAUGUCACUUUGGAGAGAUUUUCUUGUCACCAAUCCCAAGGAGGCUCCUCUCCCCACACCUCCUGUCCCCACUGAUACCCUGUAGCUGCAGGAUAUCACACAGGUGAUGCUCUUCACAGCACCGGCCACGCUCUGAACUUACCGCACAUACUCCUGCCUAGACUUGGUUACUCUCAUUUCCCCAACAGACACAAGUUUCACAGAAGUACCUUGUUUGUCUUAUUUUCUCCUGUAUCCCUGGAAGAUCAAAAUGCGCUUGCUGUGUUUACACGCUCAACAAUAUUUGUAAAGAGAAGAAUGGAGAUUGGGAAGGACGAAGGGAGGAAGGGAAGGAAAGAAGGUUAAAGAAUGAGCUACAUCUUUGAAAUCUUUUAGUGAAAACAGUAGCGCCUCUUUGAAUUACCAUACAUCGAAUAAGCACCUACUUUGCACAGACAAGUCUUGUGUAAGCUACUGAGGAUGGAAACUAGCCACACAGCCUUGUGCCUCAAGGGGAACUUGACUUUGAAUUAAUUUAUCAGAAUCCCUUCCAAUGACUUGGAAGUCAAGAGUCAAGGAAGGAAAGAAGUCUAAAAGGGAAGCACAGAGGUAUGGGGGCGGUGGGCAGGGUUUGGGGGUCUCCAAGCCAGCUUGCCAGGAGUUGAGAAAAGUACUGAAAGAAAAGUCCAGAAAGAGUUCUGGCCAAAUUUGCAAAUGAUUUGCCAAUUUUCUGUAGAACCAAUCAGAAGCACAGAGUUGAACAAAGUAUCUACAGCCUGUGAACAAGCCAAUACUCCACGGGCAUCUUUGGAAAACGAGACUUUUGGGGGGUCUCUGAAGAGGGACUGAAAAAGUCACAUCCUAUGGGACGCCAGUGAGAAUACUCUUCCCCUCCCAGCCCCCGAGAGCCUUGAUUUCCCCCACUGCCAUCUUUAUCCCCAGAUGGAAACAGGUGGUGUUUGGUACAGAAGGAUGCGGCUGGGAAACACAGCAAGCAAAAGGGAUGUUUCUAAUUGGUGUGCCUGGCCCUUCUGAAUGGAACAGAACAAUUUACAUUGUUUGAAUCAUAAAAAAUCUAGAAAAAAUUCCAAUGGGAUCUCUGACCCACGACACCCCAGGCUCUGGGUCAGUAUCACCCACUCAUCUGUUUCUAUAAUCCUUUCCAUUUGUACUGGGAAGGAAAGAUUUGGUCCACUUGGACUUGUUUCCAUCCCGGGCAGGCUGGGCUCAUGUAUCUCGCUCACGGAACUGAUGCUAAGAAAUGCGUCUUUAGGAUCUAAACCGCAGUAUGAGGCUGCAGUACAAGGAGACCCAAAGAAUGAAGUCAUGAAAUGAAUUUCAAGACAGGAAACUUUGGGCCAAAGAUGAAAGGCCUUCUUAACUGUGAAAAUCUAUUAGAAUAUGUAAUGCUCUCUCAAGAAUAGAAGCACCAUUCCUUACGUUAUUUAAGACAAGGGGAACAAAGGGCUGGAGAACGCACACUGAUCCCACUUCAGCCCCUGAGAGGAUAGGAAAAAUGACCUAAUGGUGAUUUCCUAUCGCUAACUGACAUGAUCAUUUGAAUCUGAAAACGUUAGAAAGUAAGGAACCGGACUCUCCUGUAUCAGGAGUGCAAGCGGGCCGGCGCCUUUGGCAUCUCUGCAGCUUUUGGUGGAGGGAAGUGAACGUCUGUGCAAUUCCACGCGCCCCACAGAGGAUGCUGCUGGAUGGGCUCAAACUCGGGCACAGCCAAGGUGUCCGAAGAGGGUCACGGUGUCCCACACCCAGUACCAGAGCCACAAGCCAGCCAGGAGCCUCUUCUAACUGCAGUGAGACCCACAGUGUCUAAGAAACAAGUCUUCCCGGAGAUAAGAAAGCAUAGGGGGAGAUGUUUAGUCUUCUCGUUCAAAAGGCAUCAGCCUAAGCUCCGUUCCUGUCCUGGGGGUAAACCUAAGUGGCAUCUGAUACCAGACGUGCACGCUGCAGCAUUAGCGGAGAGCUCUGCACUGUCCCUGAGUCACGGAAUCUCAGACCUGGAGGGAACCUUGGGGUUUCCCUAAGGCACCUCCUCCCGUGUUAAAGUGAGCUGUGUUCUAGAAAGUGGCGCAAAAUCCAGGAGAGUUCUGGGAACAGCAUCAAAGCGGGGUAUUGGUGCUUACCUGAGGCCAGAACAGUGAUCACUGGAGUUUAGUGAAAGAAAGGGUACUUACCUGAGGCCAGAACAGUGAUCACUGGAGUUUAGUGAAAGAAAGGGCCUCGUCUGGAAGGAGGAAGAAAGAACAGGAAAUACUGGCAGAACCUGAACAAUGUGGUGAAACUAAGGCUUCAGGAAGGGACGAUGCCCAUCACUGACGCGUCCUGAACUGAAGCCCCUGAAUUGGGAUCCCAGGUCCCGCGUUCUCCCGCCACAUGGCACCGCGAGUGCGAAACACCAGGGGAAAGAACUUCAGGACGAGGCUGCAUCCGGCUUUUCACUGAAGCAGGGCUGAGCCAGUAUACCUAUGAUGUAUCAUUUUGGUCUCGGAAUAUAUUUCUGGCAAAUCAAGGAAAAUAAUUUAAUGAGCACCGGAGGUAUGUGGGACCGUGGGCGGGGGGUUGGGCACCAGGGCUCCGGGUAAGCUGCUCCCAAAGAAUCAUUAGCAAAUGAAUGGCUUAUUCAAGUGCCCCGAGGGACUGCAAUGGGGCUGGCCUGGGUCUCCAGAGGAAGCUCCACCAGCUGGUCCCCUGCCUGUCCCCCACCCUCCCCCAGCCUUUCUUCCCUUCUCAAGCCCCGGGGCGCUCCACCAUCCUUAACAUUUGUUCUCCAAAAUCAGGAAGGGUCAGAACACCAUCCCCUGGCAGUUGUUGGCCAACUGACCUCGUCUUAAUGUCACUGGCUUUUAGUCCAGUGUUAUAUCUCACAGAGAUCUGCAUUUGGAACUUAAGGAAAGAAAAUUCUCGUGGAAUUUACACAGAGCAAAUUCACUCUUUGAAGAUGGGACAAUUCUAGGAGUUUCAACAAAUCACACCAUUUUGUAACCAGCACCACAGUUAAGGCAUAGAACUGUUCCAUCACCUCCUAAAAUUCCCUCCUGCCCCUUAGUGGUCAACCCCACCACCACCCACUGGGCCCAUUGCUUUGCCUUUUCUAGAAUGUCAAAAAAUGGAGUCACACGUGUGUAGCCUUUUGAGUUGGGCUUCUUCUGUUUAGCAUAAUGCUUGUGAGAUUUAUCCAUGCUGUUGCGUGUCUCUGUACUGCAUUCCUUUUUCUUGGUGAAUAGAAUUCUAUUGUAUGGAAGGACUAUGCGUGGUUUAUUCAUUCAUCAGUUGAAGGACAUUUGGGUUGUUUCCAGUCUGGGGAACUUUGGAAUCAAGUUACUAUUAGACAUUUGCAUACAGGUUUUUGUGUGAACAUGUUUUUAUUUCUCUUGGGUGAAUGCCCAGGCAUGGAAUUGCUCACCAUAUGGUUAGUUUAUGUUUAACUUAAAAGAAACUGCCAAUGGCUUCCCUGGUGGCGCAGUGGUUGAGAGUCCGCCUGCCGAUGCAGGGGACGCGGGUUCGUGCCCCGCUCCCGGAAGAUCCCACAUGCCGCGGAGCGGCUGGGCCCGUGAGCCAUGGCCGCUGAGCCUGCACGUCUGGAGCCUGUGCUCCGCAACGGGAGAGGCCACAACGGUGAGAGGACCGCGUACCGCAAAAAAAAACACAAAAAACUGCCAAGUUCAUUUCCAAAGUGCCUGUGUAUCAUUGUUGCAUUCCUGCAGUGUCAGUGAGGGUUCUAGUUGCUCCUCCAUCUAGUGUUGUCUUUUAUUAUUAUUGUUUGCCCAUCUAACAGGUAUGUGGUAGUAUCUCAUUGUGGUUUUAUUUUGUAUUUCCCUAAUGACUAAUGUGUGUGUCUGUGUAUUUUAAGACCUUACUUUUCAAAGAGUUUAGGUUCACAGCACAAUUGAGAAGAAGUUAUAGAGAUUUUGCUCCUACCCCCUGCUCCUACCCCCCUUCUAUCAAAAUCCCCCACCAGAGUGGUACAUUUAUUACACUUGAUGAACCUACCAUGAUACACCAUUACCUCCCAAAGUCUGCAGCUUACAUUAGGGUUCACUCCUGGUGGUGUAUAUUCUACAGGUUUGGAGAAAUGCAUAAGGACAUGUAUUCACCAUUAGAUAUCAGAGUAUUUUCACUGCCCUAAAAAUCCUCUGUGCUCUGUCUCCAUAGCUUUGCCUUUUCCAGACUGUCAUGUAAUUGGAAUUAAACAUAUAUAGCCUUUUCGGAUCGGCCUCUUACACUUAGUAAUAUGCAUUUAAAGUUCCUCCAUAUCUUUUUAUGGCUUGAUAACUCAUUUUUUUUUUUUGGUGCUGAAUAAUAUUUCAUUGUCUGGAUGGACCACUGCUUAUGUAUCUGUUGGCUUACUUCACCUACUAAGGACACCUUGGUUGCUUCCAAGUUUUUCUUAAGCUUUUAUUAUGGAAAAUUUCAAACAUAUCAAAAAGUGUUAAUUGACAGAAGACUAGAGUGAACUUACUGUAUCUAUCACCUAGCUUCAAAGAUUAUCAGUGCCUGCCCAAUCUUGUUUCAUCUAUACCCCUAUUCAUUUCUCCCUGGCCCCUGAACAGUUUGAAGCAAAUUCCAGCCAUGAAUCAUUUCUAAAUAUUUCAGUAUCUACCUCCAGAGAUAGGAUUUUUAAAAGCGUAAUCAUAAUAUUACUCUCACUUUUUAAAAUAUGCAAUAAAUCCUUAAUAUAUUAAAAGUUUCAUAGUGUUCACAUUUUUCUGAUAGUCUGAUGCGAUUUUUCGAAUUUGGCUGAGGCGUCUCCCCAGGUUCACAGGUUCUCCUUUGAAAUCUUUCCUUCUUCUUGCACAUGCGCAUUGGAGACACCAGGAUGUGUGACCCGUAGAACUGCCCAUCGUCUGGAUUUAGCCGUUUCAGGCACUGUGGAAUUUUCCGUAGUGUCUUUGACAUGAACCUUGUAUUUUGUGUAAAUGGGCAGUUACACAGUUACAGUUAUUCAGUUACACCUGAAUCCAGAUUAAUUCAUGAGUGUUUGCAAAAUGGUGACUCAAAUCUCAGCAUUCUUCCUUCCUUCAUUAGCUGAAAUACUCCUUAAAAUAUCACCUUCCUCAUUAACUACUUAGUUACCCAGUGCUACACAUUAUAUAGAAAAGGCAACACAGAUGCACGAUUAUUUUCUUUUGUUUACACAUUUUCAAAAUAAUGGGGAUAACUCUCAGAAUAUUCCAAAGGUGAGCAAUUUCUUUAGUUUCAUUCUGAGCUCAUAUGUCAUGUAUUGGUUUGAUAUGAUUUCAAUCCACUUGUUUAUGACUUACGUGAGGAUGUUUUAUUCCACUUGCUUAGGGCAAAGACACACAAAAAUUGUUUUUAGGAUAAAGUUGUUUCGAUAGGAGAAUGAAGUAAGCUGUGUCAGGUGCCAUACCCCCCCCCACUGGUGUUGAUAAGCAUUCAGUAGUUCAGCUAUUGUGUAUUGCUGGGCCCAUCCCACAAGUUUCUGCUUCAGGAGGUUGCCCCCGCUCGCCACAACUAGAGAAAGCCUGUGCACAGCAACGAAGACCCAACGCAGCCAUAAAUAAACAAACAAACAAAC
Orcinus orca (killer whale) is the source of this 6023-nucleotide long non-coding RNA. RefSeq lists it as uncharacterized. The record is from RefSeq and is a predicted model, not a curated record. The transcript has 2 exons. Lineage: Eukaryota; Metazoa; Chordata; Mammalia; Artiodactyla; Delphinidae.